This 73-nucleotide transfer RNA is filed under the name Vannielia litorea. RNAcentral's name for it is "Oceanicola litoreus tRNA". It matches the Rfam family "tRNA". From Rfam's summary of the family: Transfer RNA (tRNA) molecules are approximately 80 nucleotides in length. Their secondary structure includes four short double-helical elements and three loops (D, anti-codon, and T loops). Further hydrogen bonds mediate the characteristic L-shaped molecular structure. tRNAs have two regions of fundamental functional importance: the anti-codon, which is responsible for specific mRNA codon recognition, and the 3' end, to which the tRNAs corresponding amino acid is attached (by aminoacyl-tRNA synthetases). tRNAs cope with the degeneracy of the genetic code in two manners: having more than one tRNA (with a specific anti-codon) for a particular amino acid; and 'wobble' base-pairing, i.e. permitting non-standard base-pairing at the 3rd anti-codon position. Lineage: Bacteria; Pseudomonadati; Pseudomonadota; Alphaproteobacteria; Rhodobacterales; Paracoccaceae. The record is from Rfam by way of RNAcentral.
GGGUCGUUAGCUCAGUUGGUAGAGCGCUUCGCUUACACCGAAGAUGUCGGCGGUUCGAGCCCGUCACGACCCA